ACUCCUACGGGAGGCAGCAGUGGGGAAUAUUGCACAAUGGGGGAAACCCUGAUGCAGCCAUGCCGCGUGUGUGAAGAAGGCCUUCGGGUUGUAAAGCACUUUCAGUAGGGAGGAAGGUAGUGUAGUUAACACCUGCAUUAUUUGACGUUACCUACAGAAGAAGCACCGGCUAACUCCGUGCCAGCAGCCGCGGUAAUACGGAGGGUGCGAGCGUUAAUCGGAAUUACUGGGCGUAAAGCGCAUGCAGGCGGCCUGUUAAGUCAGAUGUGAAAGCCCGGGGUCUUAACCUCGGAAUUGCAUUUGAAACUGGCAGGCUAGAGUCUUGUAGAGGGGUUAGAAUUUCAGGUGUAGCGGUGAAAUGCGUAGAGAUCUGAAGGAAUACCAGUGGCGAAGGCGGCCCCUGGACAAAGACUGACGCUCAGAUGCGAAAGCGUGGGAGCAAACAGGAUUAGAUACCCCUGGUAGACUGUCA
This 472-nucleotide ribosomal RNA is filed under the name uncultured bacterium. RNAcentral's name for it is "bacterial SSU rRNA". It matches the Rfam family "Bacterial small subunit ribosomal RNA", at positions 335 to 802 of the family's 1533-position model. The record is from RNAcentral.